RNAcentral lists this ribosomal RNA (253 nucleotides) under uncultured bacterium. RNAcentral describes it as "partial 16S ribosomal RNA". It matches the Rfam family "Bacterial small subunit ribosomal RNA", at positions 524 to 776 of the family's 1533-position model. The record is from RNAcentral.
UACAGAGGUCCCAAGCGUUGUUCGGAUUUACUGGGCGUAAAGGGUGCGUAGGUGGCGAGGUAAGUCGGAUGUGAAAGCUCGGAGCUCAACUCCGAAAUGGCAUUGGAAACUACCUUGCUCGAGGGUUGGAGGGGGGACUGGAAUUCUCGGUGUAGCAGUGAAAUGCGUAGAUAUCGAGAGGAACACCAGUGGCGAAGGCGAGUCCCUGGACAACUCCUGACACUGAGGCACGAAAGCUAGGGGAGCAAACGGG